RNAcentral lists this ribosomal RNA (253 nucleotides) under uncultured bacterium. Its description in RNAcentral is "partial 16S ribosomal RNA". It matches the Rfam family "Bacterial small subunit ribosomal RNA", at positions 524 to 776 of the family's 1533-position model. The record is from RNAcentral.
UACGAAGGGGGCUAGCGUUGCUCGGAAUCACUGGGCGUAAAGGGUGCGUAGGCGGGUCUUUAAGUCAGGGGUGAAAUCCUGGAGCUCAACUCCAGAACUGCCUUUGAUACUGAAGAUCUUGAGUUCGGGAGAGGUGAGUGGAACUGCGAGUGUAGAGGUGAAAUUCGUAGAUAUUAGGAAGAACACCAGUGGCGAAGGCGGCUCACUGGCCCGGUACUGACGCUGAGGCGCGAAAGCGUGGGGAGCGAACAGG